RNAcentral lists this ribosomal RNA (496 nucleotides) under uncultured bacterium. RNAcentral describes it as "partial 16S ribosomal RNA". It matches the Rfam family "Bacterial small subunit ribosomal RNA", at positions 29 to 507 of the family's 1533-position model. The record is from RNAcentral.
AUGCACGCUGGCGGCGUGCCUCAUCCCUGCCAGUCGCGCGAACAGGCGAGGAGCUUGCUCCUCUGACGUUAGCGGCGGACGGGUGAGUAACACGUGGAUAACCUACCUAUAAGACUGGGAUAACUUCGGGAAACCGGAGCUAAUACCGGAUAAUAUAUUGAACCGCAUGGUUCAAUAGUGAAAGACGGUUUUGCUGUCACUUAUAGAUGGAUCCGCGCCGCAUUAGCUAGUUGGUAAGGUAACGGCUUACCAAGGCAACGAUGCGUAGCCGACCUGAGAGGGUGAUCGGCCACACUGGAACUGAGACACGGUCCAGACUCCUACGGGAGGCAGCAGUAGGGAAUCUUCCGCAAUGGGCGAAAGCCUGACGGAGCAACGCCGCGUGAGUGAUGAAGGUCUUCGGAUCGUAAAACUCUGUUAUUAGGGAAGAACAAAUGUGUAAGUAACUAUGCACGUCUUGACGGUACCUAAUCAGAAAGCCACGGCUAACUACGUG